GAUGAACGCUGGCGGCGUGCCUAAUACAUGCAAGUCGAGCGAACAGACGAGGAGCUUGCUCCUCUGACGUUAGCGGCGGACGGGUGAGUAACACGUGGAUAACCUACCUAUAAGACUGGGAUAACUUCGGGAAACCGGAGCUAAUACCGGAUAAUAUAUUGAACCGCAUGGUUCAAUAGUGAAAGACGGUUUUGCUGUCACUUAUAGAUGGAUCCGCGCCGCAUUAGCUAGUUGGUAAGGUAACGGCUUACCAAGGCAACGAUGCGUAGCCGACCUGAGAGGGUGAUCGGCCACACUGGAACUGAGACACGGUCCAGACUCCUACGGGAGGCAGCAGUAGGGAAUCUUCCGCAAUGGGCGAAAGCCUGACGGAGCAACGCCGCGUGAGUGAUGAAGGUCUUCGGAUCGUAAAACUCUGUUAUUAGGGAAGAACAAAUGUGUAAGUAACAAUGCACGUCUUGACGGUACCUAAUCAGAAAGCCACGGCUAACUACGUG
This 497-nucleotide ribosomal RNA is filed under the name uncultured bacterium. RNAcentral's name for it is "partial 16S ribosomal RNA". It matches the Rfam family "Bacterial small subunit ribosomal RNA", at positions 28 to 507 of the family's 1533-position model. The record is from RNAcentral.